Molecule: long non-coding RNA, 1505 nt
Filed under: Homo sapiens (human)
Lineage: Eukaryota; Metazoa; Chordata; Mammalia; Primates; Hominidae
Description: HSALNT0338081
Source: RNAcentral
CUCAGCAGGCUGAGAUUGGAGAAUUACCUGAGCCCAGGAGGUUGAGGCUGCAGUAGGUGCCAGAUUGAGACUGUUUAAAAAAAAUUGCGUGGGGAAGACAGCUGAGACAAGGAUAUUAAAUAAGAAGACAUUUUAUAAGCCUGGCCAUUUGAAGAUAUAGGCUUAGACCAGUAGAUUGUAAUUUAAAUUUUACUUUUUUAUUUUCCAACUCUUUAAUCUCUAGGAAUAACUGGAAAUUUUAAGAAGUUACUAUCUCUGCUAUGGGGAUGGAUAGUCAGACAGCAAUGUUCACAAAUUACUCUUGAAACUUGAUGCAAACAACCUGUUUAAAAACUGAUGUAACGAGAGGAAUUUCAUGGAUGCAAAUGAACACCUGUGAAAAUUCUUCGGCAAGAACUGUUUCAUUUAGCAACACCAGGCUGUACAGGAGGCAUGGCUGGGGAGGCCUCAGAAAACUUACAAUCAUGGCAGAAGGUGAAGGGGAAGCCAGCACAUCUUCAUAUGAUGGCAGGAACUUUAUAUGUUAUAGAAGUUAGCCCCAAGAAUGAAAUCGUGUCCUUUGCCAAAACAUGGAUGGAGCUAGAGGCCUUUAUCCUAAGGUGCUCUAUGCUUAGCCCAUCAUAGAUUGUGGCCCUUCAUUCCUGCAUUUGAUGAAUCCAGGGAACCCUCUCUCCAACACCCUUGGCCUCUCUGCAACUUUCUAACAUCAGGCAGAGUCAGAGGCACCAUCCCCAGAAGCUACAAAUCUUCAGCAUUCUCCACUCUGUGAAGUCAGAGGAAUGGCGGGACCAUAGCUCUGAGCUCAUUGGCAAAUACAACUAAUUUCAAUUUCUGGAAUGGAAGCAGUCAGAUAUUCUUCUGACUGCACGCGUAUGUGGGAGUGCCAUGUUGAAGAGUGGAAAAUAUGGAAGAUCAGUCCCUACAAACUUAAUAGGAGAAUGACAUUCAGAUUUCCCGAGUAUUUUGCAUGUCCAACUGAAAACUGAAGUAGGUUUAUGAGAGAAUGCACGCCUACCUGGAUGGGUCUGGGGAGUGUGUCACUGUCACCGCAGAUAAUUGACAAGGGCUGAUCAAAUAGCGAUGCUUUCAAGUCUGUCUCCAAAGCCCCAGAAAAAUCUGAUGCAGGGGAGAGCCUUCUCAUGAGAAAGGGCCAGGACAGCACCUUCUUUCUCUUCUUAACUUCUACAGCCAAGAAAACAAGGCAACGAGAAAAAUUAGACUACAGUGUUAAGAAGCAAAGAUCCAGGUGACUGGUCACCUUGGGUUUUCCAGGUUGCUGCUUUAGGACAGAGGCAAAUACGAAUCGCUGCGGGAAGCCUUGAACCUAGAUCUGGCAACUGGGAAUUAUCAGCAAAACGUUAUCAAGAUAUUCUGUCCUUCUGAAAUCCACAAGAUGUGUGUGCAAUGGAUAUUGCAAUCUCAAACAUUUCCUUCUUUCUUUUCUUUUCCUUCCUUCCUUCCUUCUCCUUUCUUACUAAUUAUAAAGGCUAUAUUUUCUAAAUGCA